GAUGAAGAACGUAGCGAAAUGCGAUACUUGGUGUGAAUUGCAGAAUCCCGUGAACCAUCGAGUCUUUGAACGCAAGUUGCGCCCGAAGCCAUUAGGCCGAGGCACGCCUGCCUGGGCGUCACACGUCGUUGCCCCCCCAUCUACUCCUUCGGGAUUGCGGGGGGCGGAUGAUGGCCUCCCGUGCGCCUCGUCGCGCGGUUGGCAUAAAUACCAAGUCCUCGGCGACGCACGCCACGACAAUCGGUGGUUGCGAAACCUCGGUUGCCCGUCGUGUGCGGUCGUCGCGCAUCGAGGGCUCGAAAAAAUUGCCGGGCUCCGGCUCGGCUUUCAACGCGACCCCAGGUCAGGCGGGGUUACCCGCUGAAUUUAAGCAUAUCAAUAAGCGGAGGA
Molecule: unclassified non-coding RNA, 390 nt
Filed under: soil metagenome
Description: partial contains 5.8S ribosomal RNA, internal transcribed spacer 2, and large subunit ribosomal RNA
Rfam family: 5.8S ribosomal RNA (bases 1-121)
Source: RNAcentral